RNAcentral lists this long non-coding RNA (1220 nucleotides) under Heterocephalus glaber (naked mole-rat). RNAcentral's name for it is "lncRNA (ENSHGLG00100037642.1)". The record is from RNAcentral. Lineage: Eukaryota; Metazoa; Chordata; Mammalia; Rodentia; Bathyergidae.
GUGAAUACCAGCCUGUUCGAUGGACAUUUUCCUCACACUAGCCAGUUGUAAAGCCCUGGAGAAAAUCUGAGCUGCUUUCUGAAAAUUGUCUAUGUCCUGUCACUUCAAGUAAGGAGAUUCUGUUUCAAAGCCAUUACUGUGAGGAAGCCCAUACUAAUCCAUACAGAGAGGCUGCAUGGAGAGGCCACUUGGGAAGGAAUAGAGGCCUGCAGCUGAAGGUCAUGAUAAACUCCCAGAUGUUGAAAAAGACACACAUCACACAUGGAGAUCACAUCUUUGGAGCCAAGGCAAUUGGAGUCUGGUAAAACCAAGAAGCAAAAUGUCCAUGAAAAAUAAGAGAAUGAGAUUCAUUAACUUAGGUUGAUUUCCUUAAGAGAUUGUGACCUGGAGAUUUGCUGCAGGGAGUUUAUUGGGAAGAACACUCUGGAGCAACACCAUUAAAGGGACAUUUAAUACAUUGGUUUAUAAGACUCAAUGGGCAGAACGGCUUGCACCACAUCCUGAUCUCUUGCUCUGGCCUCUAUGUAAUCCUGGAAGUAAAUCAAGAAUCGAUUAAAACACCAGGAAUGAACCCUCUCAUCAUGUGUAGACACAGAGAGAUGGAAGUCAUCUGCAAGCAAAGGAAUGAAGACCCUCAAAACCAAACCUACCAACAUCAUGAACUUGGAUAUUUAGCCUUCAGAACUUUGAAAAGAUAGAGUUAUUUAAACAUCUUAGUGAGAAAUAUUUUUAUGGAAGUCUUAGCAAAUUAAUGGAGUCAGUUUUCUCAAGAGGCUUAUGUUUUAGAGAGUUUUAGCUUCAGGGAAAAAUUGAGCAAAAUAUAGAGAAGGAAUAUUUUCCACAGUGCCUCUACACAUGCGUAGCUUCCUACGUUAUUAACAAUCACCAACAGAAUGGUACAUUUGUUAUAAUUGUUGAAGUUUUGUGACACAUAAUUAUUAUCCAAAGUCCAUGUUAUACAGAGGGUUCAUAGUUGGUGUUGAAUAUUUCCUGGAUUAAAAAAAAUGUGUAAUGUAUUUAUUUACCUUUAUAGUACUAUACAAAUAGUUUCACUGGUGAAAAGAAAAAUCUUCUAUGCUCUAUUAGUCCUUCUCCAUAACCCCUGAAACCACUGGUCUUUUUAUUAUCUCCACAUAUUUUUAUUUUUCAGAAUUUUUGAGCAGUUGAAGUCAAACUAUCUAAAAGGAUUUGAAUUUGGCUUUUGCCACAUAGUAAUGUAC